This 449-nucleotide ribosomal RNA is filed under the name uncultured bacterium. Its description in RNAcentral is "partial 16S ribosomal RNA". It matches the Rfam family "Bacterial small subunit ribosomal RNA", at positions 29 to 523 of the family's 1533-position model. The record is from RNAcentral.
AACGAACACUGGCGGCAUGCCUAACACAUGCAAGUCGAACGAGAUCUUCGGGUCUAGUGGCGCACGGGUGCGUAACGCGUGGGAAUCUGCCCUUUGGUUCGGAAUAACAGUUGGAAACGACUGCUAAUACCGGAUGAUGACGAAAGUCCAAAGAUUUAUCGCCAGAGGAUGAGCCCGCGUAGGAUUAGCUAGUUGGUGUGGUAAAGGCGCACCAAGGCGACGAUCCUUAGCUGGUCUGAGAGGAUGAUCAGCCACACUGGGACUGAGACACGGCCCAGACUCCUACGGGAGGCAGCAGUGGGGAAUAUUGGACAAUGGGCGAAAGCCUGAUCCAGCAAUGCCGCGUGAGUGAUGAAGGCCUUAGGGUUGUAAAGCCCUCUUACCCGGGAUGAUAAUGACAGUACCGGGAGAAUAAGCUCCGGCUAACUCCGUGCCAGCCGCCGCGGUAA